GCUGGCGGCGUGCUUAACACAUGCAAGUCGAACGGAAAGGCCCUUCGGGGUACUCGAGUGGCGAACGGGUGAGUAACACGUGGGUGAUCUGCCCUGCACUUUGGGAUAAGCCUGGGAAACUGGGUCUAAUACCGAAUACACCCUUCUGGCUGCAUGGUCUGGGAGGGGAAAGCUUUUGCGGUGUGGGAUGGGCCCGCGGCCUAUCAGCUUGUUGGUGAGGUUACGGCUCACCAAGGCGACGACGGGUAGCCGGCCUGAGAGGGUGACCGGCCACACUGGGACUGAGAUACGGCCCAGACUCCUACGGGAGGCAGCAGUGGGGAAUAUUGCACAAUGGGCGCAAGCCUGAUGCAGCGACGCCGCGUGAGGGAUGACGGCCUUCGGGUUGUAAACCUCUUUCGCCAGGGACGAAGCGCAAGUGACGGUACCUGGAGAAGAAGGACCGGCCAACUACGUGCCAGCAGCCGCGGUAAUACGUAGGGUCCGAGCGUUGUCCGGAAUUACUGGGCGUAAAGAGCUCGUAGGUGGUUUGUCGCGUUGUCCGUGAAAACUCACAGCUCAACUGUGGGCGUGCGGGCGAUACGGGCAGACUAGAGUACUGCAGGGGAGACUGGAAUUCCUGGUGUAGCGGUGGAAUGCGCAGAUAUCAGGAGGAACACCGGUGGCGAAGGCGGGUCUCUGGGCAGUAACUGACGCUGAGGAGCGAAAGCGUGGGGAGCGAACAGGAUUAGAUACCCUGGUAGUCCACGCCGUAAACGGUGGGUACUAGGUGUGGGUUUCCUUCCUUGGGAUCCGUGCCGUAGCUAACGCAUUAAGUACCCCGCCUGGGGAGUACGGCCGCAAGGCUAAAACUCAAAGAAAUUGACGGGGGCCCGCACAAGCGGCGGAGCAUGUGGAUUAAUUCGAUGCAACGCGAAGAACCUUACCUGGGUUUGACAUGCAC
Molecule: ribosomal RNA, 943 nt
Filed under: Mycolicibacterium vaccae
Lineage: Bacteria; Bacillati; Actinomycetota; Actinomycetes; Mycobacteriales; Mycobacteriaceae
Description: bacterial SSU rRNA
Rfam family: Bacterial small subunit ribosomal RNA
Source: RNAcentral